Molecule: ribosomal RNA, 492 nt
Filed under: uncultured bacterium
Lineage: Bacteria
Description: partial 16S ribosomal RNA
Rfam family: Bacterial small subunit ribosomal RNA
Source: RNAcentral
GAUGAACGCUAGCUACAGGCUUAACACAUGCAAGUCGAGGGGAAACGGCAUCGAAAGCUUGCUUUUGAUGGGCGUCGACCGGCGCACGGGUGAGUAACGCGUAUCCAACCUGCCCAUCACUUGGGAAUAACCUUGCGAAAGUAAGACUAAUGCCCAAUGACAUCCCACGAAGGCAUCCGAAUGGGAUUAAAGAUUUAUCGGUGAUGGAUGGGGAUGCGUCUGAUUAGCUUGUUGGCGGGGUGACGGCCCACCAAGGCAACGAUCAGUAGGGGUUCUGAGAGGAAGGUCCCCCACAUUGGAACUGAGACACGGUCCAAACUCCUACGGGAGGCAGCAGUGAGGAAUAUUAGGCAAUGGGCGAGAGCCUGAACCAGCCAAGUAGCGUGCAGGAUGACGGCCCUAUGGGUUGUAAACUGCUUUUAUAAGGGAAUAAAGUGGGUCACGUGUGACUUUUUGCAUGUACCUUAUGAAUAAGGACCGGCUAAUUCCGUG